Molecule: ribosomal RNA, 362 nt
Filed under: Escherichia coli
Lineage: Bacteria; Pseudomonadati; Pseudomonadota; Gammaproteobacteria; Enterobacterales; Enterobacteriaceae
Description: partial 23S ribosomal RNA
Rfam family: Bacterial large subunit ribosomal RNA
Source: RNAcentral
CAUAGGUUAAUGAGGCGAACCGGGGGAACUGAAACAUCUAAGUACCCCGAGGAAAAGAAAUCAACCGAGAUUCCCCCAGUAGCGGCGAGCGAACGGGGAGCAGCCCAGAGCCUGAAUCAGUGUGUGUGUUAGUGGAAGCGUCUGGAAAGGCGCGCGAUACAGGGUGACAGCCCCGUACACAAAAAUGCACAUGCUGUGAGCUCGAUGAGUAGGGCGGGACACGUGGUAUCCUGUCUGAAUAUGGGGGGACCAUCCUCCAAGGCUAAAUACUCCUGACUGACCGAUAGUGAACCAGUACCGUGAGGGAAAGGCGAAAAGAACCCCGGCGAGGGGAGUGAAAAAGAACCUGAAACCGUGUACGU